RNAcentral lists this transfer RNA (54 nucleotides) under Tarentola americana. RNAcentral describes it as "partial tRNA-Cys". The record is from RNAcentral. Lineage: Eukaryota; Metazoa; Chordata; Lepidosauria; Squamata; Phyllodactylidae.
CCAAAAUGCAAGUUUGGAGAAGCACACACACAAGUGCCGGGGCUUCUCCCGUUU